UACUUCUCCGCACAAACUUGUUGAUGACAUGUUUUCACUCUUACUCGUUCAGGCUGGAAAGGUUGGCAACGGAGAACCAGGUGCUGCAAGAGUGACGAGUCCAGAGGAAGCAGAUGAAGCUAAGCGGAAAGAGAAACUUAAACGAGGACGAGAGGUAAUAAACGUGUGAAGCAACAAUAAUUGGAGAAUUGAACGAUCGGUCUAGAUUGUCAGCUUCUUGUAGAGAGUGAUAAAUUGAUGAACUCUUGGAUUGAAUUCUUGCAUGAAUUUUCAAUAUUCCAGCUGCUCAUUGUUUUGCUAGAUGCCUAAGAUGCAAUAUGCCUGCUCAUCGUUCACUAAUAUUGAGGAAUCAAAUAAUUAGGUACAACAAAAAAUUAGGUACAACAUCAAUUGUUAUGAAAAAUUAAGGAUUCUUGCUUACUCUCAAUCAGAAUCUAAGACCAGACAGAGAUUCACUGAGGUUAGGAGUACAACAAGAGGAGUCCAGGAAUUUCUAUGGGGAUUCAUCGAC
This 511-nucleotide long non-coding RNA is filed under the name Physcomitrium patens. RNAcentral's name for it is "long non-coding RNA (PPAT_LNC004567)". The record is from RNAcentral. Lineage: Eukaryota; Viridiplantae; Streptophyta; Bryopsida; Funariales; Funariaceae.